This is a long non-coding RNA of Cyprinus carpio carpio, 1163 nucleotides long. Lineage: Eukaryota; Metazoa; Chordata; Actinopteri; Cypriniformes; Cyprinidae. The record is from Ensembl.
AUAGGUCUGAGGGAUGAAAUUAGAGACUUAAAUUUAACAAGAAAAAGUGGAAGACACAAAAAAGACAAACUGUAAAUGAAUAAUUUUACAUACAAUAUAUAAAAAAAUAAAGUUUAAAGAGAUUAAAGUUUCUUUCAUAUUAAAAAAAUUAAGAAAGGUUAUUUUGUGUUGCUACUCAACAUGAAGAUAUUGCAUCAUCAAAGAAUGUAGCCAGAGUCAAAUCUCAAGGAGCAGUUCCACCUAGCACGAUUAAAUAUGAUUCAAACAUAACUCCCAAUGGAAAUGUGAUUUUUGAUUUAACUAUGUGUUCAAACUCUGUAAUAAUGUUUCUAUGUGGCAUGAAAUUUUGAAAGUUUCUGCAACUGCUGGGAUUUUACCAGCAAAGGAGUUUGGUAAGGAAACAAGAAGCUUUGUGUAUCUCGAUUACUAAUAGCUGCGUUUAGAGUUUUAAAUAUUUAAUGAGAGGAAUCUGCAGAAAAAAGACAAGAUGCCUGCAUUCAUCAUACCGCAGGAGCUGCUUGGGGACAUUCGCAAAGGGCUUUUCAUCAAGGACUUGGGCCGAUCUCAUGAGGUUCAGCCAAAUGCGCCAUGACUGACAGAGGCACACACAGUUCUUGAUACCACAGCUUUCAGACGAGGAGCACAAAGCUCAUCUCCCCAGAGAGGAGAGAGAAGUGCUCUAUGGCCUGUGAUAUUGCUGUGUCUUUGAUCUCAAAGCAAUGCAGGGUGAAUUAAACAGCAGGCAAACUAUGUGGGAUGAAAGCAAAAAAGUUUUCGCAUUUGCAAAAGCUCCUCCUAUUUAUAUCGUUAUGUUUCAGAACUCUAAUGCAUUUCAUAAAGGCUGGUCAAAGCAAUCAGACUGCGGGGUCCAAAAUUCUGAGAGAACAUUGAAAAUCUGGGAUUUUGUAUCUAAUUCAAACCUGGGAAUAAUCGGAAAGCUUUAUGAUUUUUACAAAACAAUUGAACAUUACUGUGUAAAAGACAUAAGAAAUAUUAAAUACUGUGCACUAAUAUGUCUACAGGUAGGUCAGUAAACUAAUGAAACUCAAGAUGUUCUUCUGUUCAGUCUGUUCAAUCUGUGCCUUCAUAAAAUAUUUUUUGUCAUGAUGAUCGUUGGAAUGAUAAGCCUAAAUUACUAAAUAACAUUUUUAUUUUUAUUUUUU